ACUCCUACGGGAGGCAGCAGUGGGGAAUAUUGCACAAUGGGCGCAAGCCUGAUGCAGCAACGCCGCGUGAGGGAUGAAGGCCUUCGGGUUGUAAACCUCUUUUAGCAGGGAAGAAGCGAAAGUGACGGUACCUGCAGAAAAAGCACCGGCUAACUACGUGCCAGCAGCCGCGGUAAUAC
RNAcentral lists this ribosomal RNA (179 nucleotides) under uncultured bacterium. RNAcentral describes it as "partial 16S ribosomal RNA". It matches the Rfam family "Bacterial small subunit ribosomal RNA", at positions 335 to 526 of the family's 1533-position model. The record is from RNAcentral.